RNAcentral lists this ribosomal RNA (1678 nucleotides) under metagenome. RNAcentral's name for it is "bacterial LSU rRNA". It matches the Rfam family "Bacterial large subunit ribosomal RNA", at positions 1228 to 2925 of the family's 2925-position model. The record is from RNAcentral.
GGGGGGGAGCGUUCCAUGUGGGGUGAAGCGUUAGCGUAAGCGGGCGUGGACUGCAUGGAAGUGAGAAUGUCGGCUUGAGUAGCGAAAACAUGGGUGAGAAUCCCAUGCCCCGAAACCCUAAGGGUUCCUCCGGCAGGCUCGUCCGCGGAGGGUUAGUCAGGACCUAAGGCGAGGCCGAAAGGCGUAGUCGAUGGACAACAGGUCAACAUUCCUGUACCUGUGAUGUUUUGGGAAGGGGGACGGAGAAGGCUAGCCAAGCCAGAUGUUGGUUACUGGUCCAAGCGUUCGAGGCGUUGAGAACCGGCGAAACGGUUUGAGCUGAGGCGUGAGUGCGAGCUGCUACGGCAGCGAAGUUGGUGACGUCAAGCUUCCAAGAAAAGCCCUAUACCCGUUAAGGCAUCAUGGCCUGUACCCGAAACCGACACAGGUGGGGUGGUAGAGAAUACCGAGGGGCGCGAGGUAACUCUCUCUAAGGAACUCGGCAAAAUGGCCCCGUAACUUCGGGAGAAGGGGUGCCACCGCAAGGUGGUCGCAGUGAAGAGGCCCAGGCGACUGUUUACCAAAAACACAGGUCUCCGCUAAGUCGCAAGACGAUGUAUGGGGGCUGACGCCUGUCCAGUGCCGGAAGGUUAAGGAAGCUGGUCAGCGCAAGCGAAGCUGGCGACUGAAGCCCCGGUGAACGGCGGCCGUAACUAUAACGGUCCUAAGGUAGCGAAAUUCCUUGUCGGGUAAGUUCCGACCCGCACGAAAGGCGUAACGAUCUGGGCGCUGUCUCGGAGAGAGGCUCGGCGAAAUAGAAUUGUCUGUGAAGAUGCGGACUACGUGCACCCGGACAGAAAGACCCUAUGAAGCUUUACUGUAGCUUGGUAUUGUGCCCGGGCUCUGAAUGCGCAGGAUAGGUGGGAGGCUUUGAUCAUCGGCUUGCGGGUCGAUGUGAGCCAACGGUGAGAUACCACUCUUUCAGAGCUAGGGUUCUAACAGUCACCCGUUAUCCGGGGACUGGACAGUAUCAGGUGGGCAGUUUGACUGGGGCGGUCGCCUCCUAAAAGGUAACGGAGGCGCGCAAAGGUCUGCUCAGGCUGGUUGGAAAUCAGCCGACGAGUGUAAAAGCAGAAGCAGGCUUGACUGUGAGACCUACAAGUCGAACAGGGAGGAAACUCGGCUUUAGUGAUCCGACGGUUCUGCGUGGAAGGGCCGUCGCUCAACGGAUAAAAGUUACUCUAAGGAUAACAGGCUGAUCUCCCCCAAGAGUUCACAUCGACGGGGAGGUUUGGCACCUCGAUGUCGGCUCAUCGCAACCUGGGGCUGAAGUCGGUCCCAAGGGUUGGGCUGUUCGCCCAUUAAAGCGGUACGCGAGCUGGGUUCAGAACGUCGUGAGACAGUUCGGUCCAUAUCCGGUGCAUGCGCAGGAAUAUUGAGAGGAGUUCUCCCUAGUACGAGAGGACCGGGAGGAACGCACCUCUGGUGUACCAGUUAUCGUGCCAACGGUAAACGCUGGGUAGCCAUGUGCGGAGAGGAUAACCGCUGAAAGCAUCUAAGUGGGAAGCCCACCUCAAGAUGAGUAUUCCCAUGGCGUUAGCCAGUAAGGUCACGGGAAGAACACCCGUUGAUAGGCUCUAUGUGGAAGCGCAGUAAUGCGUGAAGCAGAGGAGUACUAAUAGACCGAGGGCUUGACCAA